RNAcentral lists this ribosomal RNA (602 nucleotides) under Dryops costae. RNAcentral's name for it is "SSU rRNA". It matches the Rfam family "Eukaryotic small subunit ribosomal RNA", at positions 22 to 602 of the family's 1831-position model. Lineage: Eukaryota; Metazoa; Arthropoda; Insecta; Coleoptera; Dryopidae. The record is from RNAcentral.
AGUCAUAUGCUUGUCUCAAAGAUUAAGCCAUGCAUGUCUCAGUACAAGCCAAAUUAAGGUGAAACCGCGAAAGGCUCAUUAAAUCAGUUAUGGUUCCUUAGAUCGUACCCACACUUACUUGGAUAACUGUGGUAAUUCUAGAGCUAAUACAUGCAAACAGAGCUCCGACCGGAGACGGAAGGAGCGCUUUUAUUAGAUCAAAACCAAUCGGCGGCGGGCUUUGCCCGUCGUCGUUCAACCUGGUGAAUCUGAAUAACUUUGUGCUGAUCGCACGGUCUAGCACCGGCGACGCAUCUUUCAAAUGUCUGCCUUAUCAACUGUCGAUGGUAGGUUCUGCGCCUACCAUGGUUGUAACGGGUAACGGGGAAUCAGGGUUCGAUUCCGGAGAGGGAGCCUGAGAAACGGCUACCACAUCCAAGGAAGGCAGCAGGCGCGCAAAUUACCCACUCCCGGCACGGGGAGGUAGUGACGAAAAAUAACGAUACGGGACUCAUCCGAGGCCCCGUAAUCGGAAUGAGUACACUCUAAAUCCUUUAACGAGGAUCAAUUGGAGGGCAAGUCUGGUGCCAGCAGCCGCGGUAAUUCCAGCUCCAAUAGCGUAU